This 472-nucleotide ribosomal RNA is filed under the name uncultured bacterium. RNAcentral's name for it is "bacterial SSU rRNA". It matches the Rfam family "Bacterial small subunit ribosomal RNA", at positions 335 to 797 of the family's 1533-position model. The record is from RNAcentral.
ACUCCUACGGGAGGCAGCAGUGGGGAAUAUUGCACAAUGGGCGCAAGCCUGAUGCAGCCAUGCCGCGUGUAUGAAGAAGGCCUUCGGGUUGUAAAGUACUUUCAGCAGUGAGGAAGGUGGAUAUGUUAAUAGCAUAUUCAUUUGACGUUAGCUGCAGAAGAAGCACCGGCUAACUCCGUGCCAGCAGCCGCGGUAAUACGGAGGGUGCGAGCGUUAAUCGGAAUUACUGGGCGUAAAGCGCAUGCAGGUGGUUUGUUAAGUCAGAUGUGAAAGCCCGGGGCUCAACCUCGGAAUUGCAUUUGAAACUGGCAAACUAGAGUACUGUAGAGGGGGGUAGAAUUUCAGGUGUAGCGGUGAAAUGCGUAGAGAUCUGAAGGAAUACCGGUGGCGAAGGCGGCCCCCUGGACAGAUACUGACACUCAGAUGCGAAAGCGUGGGGAGCAAAACAGGAUUAGAUACCCCGGUAGGCUCU